UGAAGUACCAUACAAGUUAUAUGUAGGAAUAUUAUAUUUUACAGGGGAUUAUGAAAGACAAAGAAAAAGUCAAAGUCAAGUUCACAAAGUUGGAUAGUAAUUACACUAGUUCUUGUCUUUGGGUUUAUUGGUGUGGUUGUUGUUAUAGUGUGUAUUGUAUGUAGAUGUAGUACUAAAUCUAGAAAAGGUAAAAGUAAAGAAAGACGAGAUGAAAAUGACAAACAUUCAGACUCUGGAGUUGGCAUGACACCUUUUUCUAGUGAGCAAGUUCUUCCAGAGACACCUGACAGUCCUGCUGUUGUACAGAUUGAAACUGAGGAAGAAAAUGUUCAUAGACAGACAGAACAUCAUUCUUUGUUGCAACAUGGAGAAGUACAAACAGUGCUCAAAGAACAAACAGCUGAGUACAAAACACUCGAGAAGCAAGCAAAUGAACAAAAAAUUGCUAAAGUACUGCCUAUAGUAAAGUGCAUUUAUGUACACCAAAGCAAUCCCAGAUUAUGAUGAUGACGACAAACCAAUACCAUACAUUUGUUAUGUUUAAUUUAGUUCUUGAACUAUGUCGCGUAAAUUAUCUUUUUCAAUUGCUUCUGAUGAGGCAGAAACAGAGCAGUUAAGAUCAGCAAGUCUACAUGCAAAUCAGCCCAUUUCAUGGUUAGCUGAGGAUCAAAUUGAUUUAAGAAGACCUCCUUCAGACGAUAAUCCCUACGGAUACAGUAACAGAGAUUUGAUCACUCCUGUUGAUUUCAUCGAUGUUGAUCAUGAUUUUGGAUCUCCGCUGGCAAUGACUGGUUCACUUGAGGAUCUCUGAAAUGUUUAAACUACCUCUGAGUCAGUGUUUUUAGCAUUUUAUAUUUAUACAUGAAAUGUUACAAAUUUAAAAAAAAUAUUGAGGUAUUUUUUGAGGCAUUUGUUUUACAUAACAACAAAGUAUUGUCAUUGUCAAUGUCAUUAUAUAUUUAAUGUUAUUGCUACUUUACAGUACAAUUUUAAGUGAAGUUUAUUUUCACGGCCAAGGUUGUGUAAUGGUGCAGCUAGCUUUAACAAUUAUUUCAAAAGAAAUGAUCAAUUGGUAGUUGUUUUAAGUCACUGACUCUAAAUGGCAAUCAUCAUAAAUGACAGUUAUUAAAUGAUAAGUUUCAUAUGAUGAUUUUGUGAAAAAGUGUACCUUCUCAGUAUCAAACAAUCAUCUUUCAUUUAAGAGGGUUUUAUUUACUAGCAGCUACAACGUAAUAUACUUAUUAAUAAGUUGUAAAUUAUUUCUAUUUAUCAAACUUCAACAAUAAGGAAUUAGAAAAUUCAACUGAAACGUUCAGUGUGAUAUUUAAAACCAUAAAGUUAACACAAGUCAAUGAAUUUUGUACAUGUACAUUUAUGAUCAUUUAUACAGUUAAAAAGAUGAACUGAAUUUUUUUUAGUUAUGAAUCAGAAAGAACAAGGUCAGAGAUAAGGUCACUAGUGCCACAGAAUGAUGAACUGACCAUCUUGUAUUUUUAUUUCAUAUAUAAAUGUGAAAUUUCUUUUUUAAUGUCAUCAAUUGGUGAAUCAUACCAGUGCCAUAUUCAUUACACAGUACAAGAGUAGAUGACUAUUGAUUGGUUAAUUUCUCCUUGCAACAAAUUGCAAAGGAAUUUAUUAAUGUUACCAUCUGUCUAUUCACCCGUAACAAUAUUCUGUACACCAAGGAGGUCUAAACUUGCAUCUUUCCUUCAAUGAAAUUUUUCUAUUGCUUGACUUUUAGAAGUGUUUGAAAUGCAUAUGAUUUUAAGGUCAGAGUUCAAGGUCACUGUCACAACUAAGUGAUUCAGAGAUGAUAUUUCGGUGUCCUUGUACAUUUGCAGUUGCCAGUAUACAUAUAUCAUGAAAUAGGGAAAAAACAUAAAUUACAUGUAAUACAAGCAUUUUGUGGUGUUUUUGUUCAAAAUAUAUGUGUUCAAAUUUGCAAACAAUCUCAGAUUUGCUCAUUUUAAUAGUUGUAACUUAUUACAUAGAAACUUAUUAGGUCAUUACUAUAUAUGUGUGAGUGUGUGUUUUCUGUAGCUGUAGGAUCAAAAUUUUUGUCAUGUUAGAUUUGUAUAGUUAUAUUUUCAUUAUUAUAUAUUUAAACAUAAGCAAAGAUCUUGGCAAUUAUAAACAAAAAGUGAAUUAAAUUAAUUGUUAUGAUUUUUUUUAUGAGAUGAUUUAUUUGCACCCAAAACCAAAGGAUUAGAAAGGGAACAAAUAUAGAUCAUCAUAUGACAUUUAUCAAGGGCCAUAAACCAUUUUGUAAAGUAACCUAUAAGAGGCCCCUUUGAAAACAAAACUGAUUACUUUAAAUUAGCCAAAAUGACUUCAGCUUUGGAACACAAAAAUAAGAAGUGCAUGGCUGAAGAUAACAGGACAUUUAAUUUUUUUAUGGUAUUUCACAUGUUAUCAUUGUGUGAUAAUGUUAUCAAAUUACUUGAAUAUGAUAUUACAGUGUUAAUGCAUUUCCUUCAUAAAACCAAAUGAAUAAAAUCUUUUAAACAAAAUUUGAAUCUCAUUUUCUCACAUUUGAAUAAGUAAAUAAAAAUUCACCAAAUAAGAGUAAGAAUGGUAUCGGUAAUAUAAAAAGUUUUUAUAUGACCUGUCUUACUCCAAUUUUUAUACGACCCCAAAAAAAUUUUUGUGGUCGUAUAUUGGUAUGACGUUGGCGUCGUCGUCGUCGUCGUCGUCGUCGUCUGGCGUCGUCCAGCGUCGUCUGAAGACACAUUGGUUUUCGCACUCUAACUUUAGUUUAAGUGAAUGGAUCUCUUUGAAAUUUUACCACAAGGUUCAAUACCACAAAAGGAAGGUUGGGAUUGAUUUUGGGGGUUAUGGUACCAACAGUAAAGGAAUAAGGGGCCAAAAAGGGGCCAAAAAUAAGCAUUUUUGUAACUUCCAGACAUAACUUGUGUGUUAGUGUAUGGAUCUCUCUGACAUUGUACCACAAAGUUCCAUAUCACAAAAGGAAUGCUGGGAUUGAUUUUGGGGGUAAUUGCCUCAAAAUUUUAGGAAUUAGGGGCCGAAAAAGGGGCAAAAAACAAGCAUUUUUCUAGUUUCAGGACCAUAACUUGUGUGUAAGUGUAUGGAUCUUUCUGAAAUUGUACUACAAGGUUCCAUAUCACAAAUGGAAAGCUGGGUUUGAGUUUGGGGGUAAUUGCCCUAAACGUUUAGGAAUUUGGGGCCAAAAAGGGGCCAAAAAACACAUUUUUCUAGUUUCCAGACAAUAACUUGUGUUCAAGUGUAUGGAUCUCUCUGAAAUUGUACUGCAAGGUACCAUACCACAAAGGGAAGGCUGGGAUUAAGUUUGGGGGUGAUGAAUCAUAAGGGGGUUCAAAAAAUUUGGGGGGGGGGGGAUUUUUUUUUUUCCUUUUUUUUUUCUUUUAAAAUUUUCCAUUUUAAGUUGGUUAUUUCUGAUUUAUAUUUAAAAGCAAAUAAUAAUGAUAUGGUAGGAGAUACACACCAAACAGGAUGUGUAAAUUAUUAUAUAAUAAGUAUUGUGCAAUAGCAAGAAAUUUUCAAUUGCACAGUAUUGCACCAUAGCAAGAAAUCUUCAAUUGCACAGUAUUGCGCAAUAGCAAGAAAUCUUCAAUUGCACAGUAUUGCGCAAUAGCAAGAAAUAUCCAAUAGCACAAUAUUGCGCAAUAGCAAGAAAUUGUCAAUUGUACAGUAUUGCGCAAUAGCAAGAAAUAUUUAAUUGCACAGUAUUCUGCAAAAGAAGAUACUUCGUAUAAAUUGCUUAUUUCUUGACCAAUUUCAAUGGGGUUUUAUUCUUGAAUUCUUGGGGUUUUUUAAUAUGCUAAAUCAUACCGUGUAUUAAGUUUUUGGAUUUUGGGCCCCGUUUUUAAAUUGGUCCACAUUGAGGUCCAAAGGGUCCAAAAUUAAACUUUGUUUGAUUUCAUCAAAAAUUGAAUUAUUGGGGUUCUUUGAUAUGUCGAAUCUAACCGUGUAUUUAGAUUCAUAAUUUUUGGUUCCGUUUUCAAAUUGGUCUACAUUAAGGUCCAAAGGGUCCAAAAUUAAACUUAGUUUGAUUUUAACAAAAAUUGAAUUUUAAGGGUUCUUUGAUAUGCUGAAUCUAAACAUGUAUUUAGAUUUUUGAUUAUGGGCCCAGUUUUCAAGUUGGUCCAAAUCGGGGUCCAAAAUUAAACUUUGUUUGAUUUCAACAAAAAUUGAAUAUAUGGGGUUCUUUGAUAUGCUGAAUCUAACCAUGUAUUUAGAUUUUUGAUUUUUGGGCCUCGUUAUCAACUUUGUCCACAUUGAGGUCAAAAGGGUCCAAAAUUAAACUUUGUUUGAUUUCAUCAAAAAUUGAAUUCUUUGGGUUCUUUGAUAUGCUGAAUCUAACCAUGUAUUUAGAUUUUGGAUAUUGGACCAUAAUAGGUGAAUGUCCAAUUUAAAAAUUUUAAGUUCUUAGACCACAUUCAUUCUGUGUCAGAAACCUAUGCUGUGUCAAAUAUUUAAUCACAAUCCAAAUGCAAAGCUGUAUCAAGCUUGAAUGUUGUGUCCAUACUUGCCCCAACUGUUCAGGGUUCGACCUCUGCGGUCGUAUCAAGCUGCGCCCUGCAGAGCAUUUUAUUUAUAGAUUUUUUUUAAAAAGUGGUUAAUAUAUCUUCCUAGACAGGAGAUAAUGUACAAGUUUUGGAUAAAGAUAUUUUGAAAAUGUAAUUUUUAACCGAUCAUUGUACAAUUACCCUUUAUUUUAUAUCUUGAACUUUAUAUAAAAUAGUCACAAUUAACUCAUGAUUAUUGAAAUAAUUAAUAUAUUUGUACAACCAGUUGUAUUGUUACAUACACUAUACAAUAUUUACCAAGAGUUUGUGUGCAAUAUUUCCAGUUUCACACACAAAGUAAUUUCACAUUACUUGUGUAUGAACAUGAUGACAUAUCAUACUUUUAAUGCUUUACUUUUCUUUUUAUAAAUGUACUGGUUUUAAGAUGUUGUGUACUGACACAGUAUGAAAUCUAAAUUUGAUUUUAGAUUUAAGUAUUUUACAUAGAUUUUUAGGAAAGAAAGUCUUUUUAGAUUGGACUGGGUAAUUGAAAGAAAAUUAAAUCAUAGUUUUAUAGAUAUUACAUGAACUACGUAAGCUCAAGUCAUUACAAGUUAUGUAAACAAACAACUGUUUUAUACACAGGGUAAAUAGUUUUGCUUACAACAUUAAUUUUUCAUAACUUCAUGUUGGUAUGUAUAGACUAUCAUUAUCAUAUUUGUAGAAAAACGUGUUGUCCAAGUAAAAUUGAAGUGACUAGGAAGAAAGGUAUAAUUAAGUAUGGUAAAUACAAAAUUAGAAUUAAACGGUUAAUUACAGAAUUUGGUAUGUUUUGAUGGGUUUAAUUUUAAUAAAACGGUUUAAAAAAAUGGAAGGUAUAAAAAAGUAUCUCUUUUUUGCUCUCUGAUGUUCAAACCCAGGAGUCCCCAUGUUGUUUUUUUUAAAAAUAAAAUGACUAACAAAAAAAGUUGAAAGAAACCAAAAAAAAAUUUGAAGUGCCAAGAACUUCUUAAUCGCAGCAAUGAACAGUUGGACCAAUGUGCAUACACCGAGAGUCAAUGAUGAUGAUGAUGGGGGUUUAUACGACCUUGACUGGCUAUAAAGCCCUCGCACGGUCAGCAUACAACGAGAGUCAAUCAACUCGAGUAAAUAAAAUGUGUUCAUAAUUUUAUAUAAUUACACAAAAUGUAUAGUAGUAUUAUGGUAUAGUUUGGUCGUUGUCAUUGUCUGUCCACGUGUUCUCAUAAUAACUGAUAAUCAUGGUCAAUCAUUUAACUACACAAAUGUUCAUCUUGUCCUCCUCACAUGUAGUAGUGGUAUAAUGCAACUAGACGUAGUCUUUUAUUAAUUAAAAAAAAUGAAUAAAAGUGGCCUUUUAUUAAGG
Molecule: long non-coding RNA, 5871 nt
Organism: Mytilus californianus (California mussel)
Lineage: Eukaryota; Metazoa; Mollusca; Bivalvia; Mytilida; Mytilidae
Exons: 5
Source: RefSeq, a predicted model, not a curated record